UUAGUCAGGACCUAAGCCGAGGCCGACAGGCGUAGGCGAUGGACAACAGGUUGAUAUUCCUGUACCACCUCUUUAUCGUUUGAGCAAUGGAGGGACGCAGAAGGAUAGAAGAAGCGUGCGAUUGGUUGUGCACGUCCAAGCAGUUAGGCUGAUAAGUAGGCAAAUCCGCUUAUCGUAAAGGCUGAGCUGUGAUGGGGAAGCUCCUUAUGGAGCGAAGUCUUUGAUUCCCCGCUGCCAAGAAAAGCUUCUAGCGAGAUAAAAGGUGCCUGUACCGCAAACCGACACAGGUAGGCGAGGAGAGAAUCCUAAGGUGUGCGAGAGAACUCUGGUUAAGGAACUCGGCAAAAUGACCCCGUAACUUCGGGAGAAGGGGUGCUUUCUUAACGGAAAGCCGCAGUGAAUAG
RNAcentral lists this ribosomal RNA (404 nucleotides) under Vibrio cholerae. RNAcentral describes it as "partial 23S ribosomal RNA". It matches the Rfam family "Bacterial large subunit ribosomal RNA", at positions 1380 to 1789 of the family's 2925-position model. Lineage: Bacteria; Pseudomonadati; Pseudomonadota; Gammaproteobacteria; Vibrionales; Vibrionaceae. The record is from RNAcentral.